RNAcentral lists this ribosomal RNA (449 nucleotides) under uncultured Bellilinea sp. Its description in RNAcentral is "bacterial SSU rRNA". It matches the Rfam family "Bacterial small subunit ribosomal RNA", at positions 919 to 1382 of the family's 1533-position model. The record is from RNAcentral. Lineage: Bacteria; Bacillati; Chloroflexota; Anaerolineae; Anaerolineales; Anaerolineaceae.
CCCCGCACAAGCAGCGGAGCGUGUGGUUUAAUUCGAUGUUACACGAAGAACCUUACCAGGGUUUGACAUGCAAGUGGUAGGAAGCCGAAAGGUGACCGACCUUCGGGGAGCUUGCACAGGUGCUGCAUGGCUGUCGUCAGCUCGUGUCGUGAGAUGUUCGGUUAAGUCCGCUAACGAGCGCAACCCUCGCUGUGUGUUAUAUGUGUCACACGGGACUGCCGGUCUUAAGCCGGAGGAAGGUGGGAUGAUGUCAAGUCAGCAUGGCCUUUAUAUCCUGGGCUACACACACGCUACAAUGGUCGGUACAAUGGGUCGCCAAGCCGCGAGGCGGAGCCAAUCCUCCAAAACCGGCCUCAGUUCAGAUUGUAGGCUGCAACUCGCCUGCAUGAAGUUGGAGUUGCUAGUAACCGCGCGUCAGCUAUAGUGCGGUGAAUACGUUCCCGGGGCUU